UUCUCCAAGAGUCCAAGACCCAGACCUCUUUGCGGUGCAAACUUUAUGCUGCAAAACGCGAGUGUGAACAUGACAAUGCAUAUUCAAGGACUUCUUAUCAAGUCAAAAUGGGUUAGCAGUUAGGUGCAGCUUAGAAUUCAUGCUAAUGGUUUCCCUGCCGCAUACUUUGUACUAAAUCAGCGACACUUACUUUGGGACUUUGGGACGGAGGGAGUGGUUCAUGUCUAUCGGUGUUGCAAAAACUCAAUGUGCUACAAACCACGGUUAGUCCAUGCUUAAAAGAUGAUGGAAGAGAAGCACGCAUACUGCAAUUGAAAUGAGUUAUGAAGCCACUCGUUGGUUACUUCGUUGUUCCAACAUUCAGCUCCACAGAUAACUAGCCUCCUGCGCUCCUUGCCUUCUUUGCAAACUUCUCAGGUCUCAGGUCCUGCGCUCCUUGCCUUCUUUGCAAACUUCUUCUCAGGUCUCAGGUCUUCGUUGUAGCCCGUUACACCAAUCACGACCUCUAUUCCUAUUCAAAACAAGCAGCACAUAAACUGAUCUACACACCAUUAGAGCGAAACAUAGCUUGGUUCUUACUGUUGUCAGCAAGAUUGCAAUCGGUUAGCAACUGUUGAGAAUCAUGAAUUCUCAAUGACCAACACACGCACACAUUGACUGAUUUCACAUACUUUUGAAUCUAUAUCCAGUUUCUUGAGUUGCCAGGGCUUUGUCUGAAACUCAUCAGUAGAAAUCAUGCCAUGUCAUGAGAACAUAUAGGUCAUUACUGAACAAUGCAAGCUGCCCCAUGAUUUCCAUCAAAUCUUCAAAAUGAUUCUGUAGCUCUUAAAUCUCAAUCUGAGCUUGUUCCCCCUUCUUUACAGUAGCCAAGCCUCAACAGCACCUUGAAGCAUUCCGAUCAGCAAAGCAGGAAAAGGUUGCGGCGGUACUGAUCCAGUCGGUCCUGUCUUCAUGCUUCCAAGGCAUGGUCUGUUCUUGCCAAGAAGGCUCGGUUGUGCAUAAUUCAUGAUAUUGUAAGUUUCAGAGUGAAAACACAAUGGAAGAUAUGAACAACUCCUGCAUCUGCCAAAACAACAUUUUUAUUUUGUCCCAAUCAAAUACAACAGGCUUUCAUGUAUGAAAUGGCUACACAAAUGUUAU
RNAcentral lists this long non-coding RNA (1140 nucleotides) under Triticum aestivum (bread wheat). Its description in RNAcentral is "long non-coding RNA (TAES_LNC020911)". The record is from RNAcentral. Lineage: Eukaryota; Viridiplantae; Streptophyta; Magnoliopsida; Poales; Poaceae.